Molecule: ribosomal RNA, 497 nt
Filed under: uncultured bacterium
Lineage: Bacteria
Description: partial 16S ribosomal RNA
Rfam family: Bacterial small subunit ribosomal RNA
Source: RNAcentral
GAUGAACGCUGGCGGCGUGCCUAAUACAUGCAAGUCGAGCGAACGGACGAGAAGCUUGCUUCUCUGAUGUUAGCGGCGGACGGGUGAGUAACACGUGGAUAACCUACCUAUAAGACUGGGAUAACUUCGGGAAACCGUAGCUAAUACCGGAUAAUAUUUUGAACCGCAUGGUUCAAAAGUGAAAGACGGUCUUGCUGUCACUUAUAGAUGGAUCCGCGCUGCAUUAGCUAGUUGGUAAGGUAACGGCUUACCAAGGCAACGUUGCAUAGCCGACCUGAGAGGGUGAUCGGCCACACUGGAACUGAGACACGGUCCAGACUCCUACGGGAGGCAGCAGUAGGGAAUCUUCCGCAAUGGGCGAAAGCCUGACGGAGCAACGCCGCGUGAGUGAUGAAGGUCUUCGGAUCGUAAAACUCUGUUAUUAGGGAAGAACAUAUGUGUAAGUAACUGUGCGCAUCUUGACGGUACCUAAUCAGAAAGCCACGGCUAACCACGUG